GCAUAUAUGAAAGCAAAACACACACUUAUUUUUUUGUGGCAUCACUUCAGAGCAGAAUCUUCACCGCCAAUGCUUCGUCCCUCUCUCAUGUCACUUUACCAAUAAUUCCUUCCUCCUUCAUAUCACUAUAUCACUUCUUUAACAAUAAUUUCAUACACCUGUAUUUUAAUUAAUUUCACUAUCUUCUUCUACUCCAAUUCUAUUACACCCUAUCAAGAAUGCUCUCUUUUUGUUGGUAUUAUUCCAAAACUUCAUUGAAGUAGCCUAAGCUUGAAAAAGGGAGAAAUAACCUUUAAUUCAAGUAUUACCAAUUAUUAAGCUAUUAAGAUACUCAAAGGAAUCGCUCUCCUUGCUUGUUGGAAUCUGUGGAGUAGAAAUUCCUCUCUUGGAUUUUAGUCUGCUCUAUGACAGAAACUGCAGCUAACGGCAGUAAGCGCUAGACUUGGUGCACCUUGUCAAGUAUAUAUUUGCGUUUUCAGGACCAUAUGGGAUGAAAUGGUUCCUGUCUGUUUCAUGUCCACAAAAUUAGUGGAAUAUGUCUGUUUCAGAACUCACACGAAGGAAAACAACCCAAGUAUAUGGGCAUUGAUCCUAAUCCAACUUCAUCAUUUCCGCUCUAGUUUUGUUUGUGUUGGUGAGCCCUUUACUGUUUAAGGCUUGGUAUUUUGUGUAAAUAGUUUUAAAGCUCUUUAGACUUGUUAAACUGCUCCAUGUGACAUAGGCAGGAUCCGACUUUAGUGACUUAAGUAUGUUGCUUUGUAAAUAUUCUAGUAGAUGAAGCUAAUAGACUAUGCUUUGCUGUAAAUAUUUAAGUCGAAUUUUAUAUAAAUAUGCUGAGUAUGUUUUAAACA
Molecule: long non-coding RNA, 851 nt
Organism: Arachis stenosperma
Lineage: Eukaryota; Viridiplantae; Streptophyta; Magnoliopsida; Fabales; Fabaceae
Exons: 4
Source: RefSeq, a predicted model, not a curated record